GUUACUUGUCCUAGAGUUCAACUGUGAAUGACCUUUCUUUGAUUCUCUGAGUUACGUUUCCUCAAGAAGACACCCUGCUACCUCAGUGACAGCGUGUGUAGGGGAGAGCGGGUUGUCACCUUUCUCCCACUCUUUCAGUCUGAGGGGAAACUACCUGGGCCCUAAUAGUUGAGACAUCUCUCAGAGGUGAGUGUGGGAACUGACGACCUGAUUUCCUUGGAUGGCGAAGGAAGGAUUUAGUAGGGGCGAAGAAGGGUCAGCACCACGGACUUUGGAGGGCAAGAAGAAGUCGUUUCUUGGAUGCUAAUGAUAGUUGCGAAUUUAUUUAAUGCUUUCGUCGUACAAAAGAGAGCCUGUUUAAAAUCUAAAAUCGGGCCAUAUGGAAAGUGAAGAAACAGACCUUUACAGAUAAUUUGUAAAUAUUUAUAACUGCCCCCCACAGAUAUAUACUAUUGAUUACCUUGUAUUCCUUGUGCUAGGUUAAGAAUGAGUAAAAGACUCACCCUCUGUUUCUCAUCUAUAAAAUGUUACUCCCCUUCACUUCCAAAAUUCUGUAACUCUAAAGUGAUAUUGAGUAUGUCCGUGAAAGGUCAUGGAAGAGAGAUGAUUAUUUCCUGUAACAUGUUAUGAGCCUGCUUUUAAGGAGGAAAUCCAGGUUAUAUUUUAAAAUAAAGUUUCCAAAUUGGAUGUUUAGCAGUCACCAAUAAGAAACUGCUUUCAGAGGUAUUUAGUAAAUUUAUAAUUUAUUAAUUUUAUGACAGGCUGAAAUAGAGAAGGAAAUCAGGAUGGAUUUCAGUAUAUUUAACUCCAAGUAGUAGCACAUAAUGGUUAAGAGCAUGAGUUUUGGAGUCCAGCUCAUUUGCAUACUAGAGUCAAGAAAAAGCUUAGAUCAGGAUGAAGAUUUGAUAAUUGAAAAAUAUAAUUUAGCUCUGAUGCUUAAGAGCUCAUAAAUGACCUUAGGGAGAAACAGUUUUUGUGCAACAAUCAGGGCAGAAUCCAUGUUUCGGUGAAUAAGAGAUAAGUUAAUGGAGGCAUCUAGGCUAAAUUAUGCUUUCAAGGAGCUUAAUUCAGAAGGAGAAAACAGCAGUAGUAGCUAAUGAAGAAAGUGAGAUAAAAGUUGAGUCCUCCCCCCCUUCUGUUUUCAGGUGGAAGCAAAUACAUACUGCAUAUGCAUGUUGUUCCCCUGAAGGAAAUCAGCUAUCAGAGAGGGACAAGUUGAAGAAAUUGAAAAAUGAGACGAUAACUCAUUGGUGGAGUAACAACUUGGAAUAGAUAGGAAGAAGUGGGACCCAGAACACAUUAGCAUUUUUCUCUGACUCAAAAGAAUAUGGCUAAAGAUAAGUUUAGAAAAGAUUAAGGCAGAGAAAAAUAGAAGGAAUUCAUACUUAAUGUUUUCUAUUUUCUUUGUAGAGUUGGUGGCAGUUUAGUGUAAGUUGGAUGGAUCUGGUGGAACACUUGAGUUUAGAAUUGCCUCUGGAGAGAUUGUGAAAAAGGACUCACCUAAGGCUUCUGGUUCUUUGGAGCCUCAUCUCUAAAAUGAGGGGUGUAAGUGUUGCUCUUGAGGUAUCUCAGUGUUGAUUCAGGCCAGUUGGGAAAGAAAAAGAAUAAUUGAAGGACUUUGGGGAAAAAAAUCUAGCUUGGUAGAAACAAAUUUAUUUAAUGACAAGUUAGUAAAAUAGAUGCCAUGUUUAAAAUACUAAUUUUUUUUUUUUGCGAAGAGCAGAGCAAGAAAAAUAUGUAAGAAGAAAAUGGAGCAAAACUAUGAUUUGGGUACCUUAUGAGUGUUUUUUUAAAUCUCAUUUUAUGUAAAAUGGAGAUAAUAAUACCUCGUGAGUUGUGAGGAUUUAAAAAAACUUUCUAAGAUACUUAACACAGUGCCUUUCUCAUAGUAAGUACAUAAUAAAUAGUAACAAAUACUUUUAUGAUUCUGAGUUCCCUUUUUGGAAGGGAUGGCAGUAUGAAAAAUGUUCCCUGGGAAAAAGGAGAUUUGGUUCUGGUACUGCUCUAACUCAAUGAAAUACCACUAAUGUAGAAAGAUCUUACCCCAAUGUUCAUUGCCUUUUAGAUUCUCUCCCCCACCCCAGUUUCUUCUGACCCACACAAAAAUCAGCCCAGGAAGCAUGGAUUUGGCAGGGAUUGAUAUUGUUGGAAGCAGAAUCUUAGGCAAGGAACAGCAUGACUGUUUGGGUGGCUUUUAGAUUUCCAUGAUUGACAUUGUUGUCAGUGGGCCAGUAAAAUUUGCUUACAACUAAAGGUUGGUCUGGAGGACAGUUUGAGUGGGGUACAAAAUAAAUUCAGUAUCCUGGAAUAGAGUUGAAAGUAUACACAGAAGGUUGGCCACCUGUUAGGUUUGUUGUAGGCUUGCAUUAUAAAAUGAGCUAAGUGCUUUUUUAGGCUGUCAUUCUGUUCUCUAAACAUAAAAUCCUUCUUGCAAUUCAUGAUACUAAAGGUAUUUCACAAGUACUGUUUUUUAAGUUAUUAAAAAAAUCAAAUAUUACAUGCUUUUAUUUAGUUUUGCCACUUUUUUAAAUUAUUUAUUCUGAUUUGUUAUAUAUGAUGGCAGAAUGCAAUUCAUUUCAUAUUACACAUAUAGAGCACAAUUUUUUAAGACACUGAUUGUACACAAAGUAUUUUCACACCAUUCGUGUCUUAUACAUGUACCUAGGGUAAAGAUGUCUAAUUUAUUCCAUCAUCAUUCCUACCCCCUUGCCCCUCUUUCCUCUCCCUUCCCUUUGCCCUAUCUAAAGUUCCUCCAUUCCUCCCAUCCAUCCCUUCCCACUCCCACACUCGCCAUUAUGUGUCUAUGAGUGUUUUUUUAAAUCUCAGUUUAUGUAAAAAUCCUCAUAUCAAAGAAAACAUUUGGCCUUAGGAUUGGCUCGCUUCACUUAGCAUUAUAUUCUCCAACUUCAUCCAUUUACCUGCAAAUGCCGAUUACAUGCUUUUUGUAAUAGUGACUUUAGGUUACACAAAAGUAUAUAUAAGGUAAACAAAAGUAAAAUAACUCUGAACCUUUCCUAUUCUCAGCCUACUUUCUAGUGGUAACAAUUUUCUUUGUAUCCUUUCAUAAUUGUUUUAGGCAUAAUGAUACAAAUAAAUGUUCAUGCGUCUAUAUAUGAGUGUAUGUGUGUAUACAUACAUACAUAUUUACAUUCUGUUAAUAAAUGUCAUCUUCCUAAAUAAUAUAUUACUUUUUGAAAGUGGCACUCUAUAGUAAAUCUUUGCAUACAGUCAUAGAUAAUCAGUUGAUGGAUAUAUAAUUUAGUCAGUACCCUGAUAACAUUUAGGUUAGUUCUAGUUUUUUUCCUGCUAUUAACAAUUCUAUAAUAAAAUACUUGUACAUAUCUAUUAUAGGAUAAAUUCCUAUUAGUGGAAUUAAUGGGUCAAAAAUAUGUGGAUUUUUUUUACAUUGACAGAUAUUGCCAAAUUAUUUCUUAAAAAGACUAUAGCAAAUUCUUUACCCACUAGACUUUUUAUUCAUACUUUUACUAACAUUGAGUAUUAUUCUUCUGGGAUUCAGAAUUUUUUUUCUGGUUACUUUUAUAAGUUAAGUUUUCCACAUGAAUUUUAAAAUAAUUUUUUUAGGAAUUUUUAAAAACAUUUUUAGUUGCUGAAUAUAAUAACUUUAUUUUAUUUAUUUAUUUAUUUAUUUAUAUGGUGCUGAGGAUCGAACCCAGUGCCUUACAUGUGCUAGGCAGGCACUCUACCACUGAGCCACAACCCCAGUCCUAGGAAUUUUUUUUUGUGUGUGGGGAAUAUUUUGAUUAACAUUUACUUUAUACCUGUUGAGCUUUCCUAAUCUGAAAUCUGAAAUGCCCAAUAUCUAAAACUUUUUGAGCACUGACCAUGCUACAAGUAGAAAAUUUCACACCAUGAAACUGUUUCAUGUAAAAAAUUAUUAAAUAUUGUGUAAAAUUACCUCUAGACCCUAUGUGAAACAUGUAUAUGAAACAAACAUUCCAAAAUCUAAAACAAUUCUGUUUCCAAGCAUUUUGGGUAAGGGAUAUUCAACCUGUAAGUCAAUUUAUGGUAAGUUGACUUUACCUAUGCAAGAGUAGGUAUGAUUUUGCACUUUAAUGAAGCAAUUUACCUUAUUAAUCCUUAGAGCUACUCUAUUUUUUUCCCAUUUUUACAAAUAAGGAAACUGAAGUCAUGAGGCAUAAGUGACAUGGUCAUACAAUCAUUAGAAUGCAGCACUGGUAAAAGUCUAUCUGGUAUCAGUCUAUCUGAUACCAGCACCUCUGAUAUAUAUAAUUAUUAUUAUUAUUAUUUUUUGUGGUGAUGUUGGGGUUUGAACGCAGGGCCUUGUGCAUGCGAGGCAAGUACUCUACCAACUGAACUAUAAAAUCAUACCCAGCCCCCUUUAUGUUUUUUAAACAAUCAAAAAUACAAAUUUGCCAGGCACAGUGGUGCACACCUGUAAUUCCAGUGGCUCGGAGGCUGAGACAGGAGGAUCACAAGUUCAAAGCCAGUCUCAGCAACUUGCUGAGGCCCUAAGCAACUCAGUGAGACCCUAUGUCUAAAUAAAAUACAAAAUAGGGCUGGGGAUGUGGCUCCAUGGUUGAGUGCCCUGGUUCAAUCCCCAGUCCCAAAAAUAUACAAAUUUAUUUUUACUUUUAUUUGAAAUAGGUCUUACACAAUUUCUAAUAUUUGAAGUAAUUUUAUAGAAAGUGCUAAUAGAAUAAUAAAUAAUAAUAACAAUAAUAAUAAUAAAUAAUAAUAAUAAUAAUAAAAGAAGCCAUAGAUCAGCAACAAUAAAAAAUAUCCUUUAGAUUUUCAAUGGGAUAUAUAUUCAUAUAAAUAAAAAUGAGAAAAUGAACUAAAAAAAAAUGAAAAAGCCAAAAAAAAAAAGUGCUAAUAGGUAAGGAAUAUAUUAUUGAAUUUCAGGUUUUAAUACACCUCUUAUUAGCUUGAGGCCUUUUCCUAUUUUUUGUUUGUUAAUUACUGCUUACUAAUCACUUCUCCACCUCAUUUAAGUUAGUUUUGUAGGCGCUUUUACCUUUUAAAGAAAAAUUCUACUUAUUCUAUUUAUUUGCUUGUAUGUCAGCAUCUGAAAAUAUUCACAUUUGUUAAAAUAGGUGAAAUUGAGCCCAAAGUUACAUAUCGAGUCAAUAUUAUAAAAAUGCAUGGAAGUAAAGCAUUCUGAAGAAAAUCUAGGACCACAGAAUUUAUUUGCUGAAAUACAAUGUAUUAUUCAAAUCAAGAAUAAGAGUGGAGAAGAAUUAUUCAUUUUCCCUGCUAAAAUCAUGGAGGUAGAAGAACAGCAGCAGCCAUGGAAGACCAACUUUUACACAGAAUUGCCAAAAGUGGUGAGAAUUCUACUUACCAAUGAGUAAUGUUACUA
This 5341-nucleotide long non-coding RNA is filed under the name Marmota monax (woodchuck). Lineage: Eukaryota; Metazoa; Chordata; Mammalia; Rodentia; Sciuridae. The record is from RNAcentral.